GCGCGAUUAGCUCAGUUGGUAGAGCAGCGCUUUUACACAGCGAAGGUCGGGGGUUCGAAUCCCUCAUCGCGCACCA
This 76-nucleotide transfer RNA is filed under the name Candidatus Taylorbacteria bacterium RIFCSPHIGHO2_01_FULL_44_110. Its description in RNAcentral is "tRNA-Val". It matches the Rfam family "tRNA". From Rfam's summary of the family: Transfer RNA (tRNA) molecules are approximately 80 nucleotides in length. Their secondary structure includes four short double-helical elements and three loops (D, anti-codon, and T loops). Further hydrogen bonds mediate the characteristic L-shaped molecular structure. tRNAs have two regions of fundamental functional importance: the anti-codon, which is responsible for specific mRNA codon recognition, and the 3' end, to which the tRNAs corresponding amino acid is attached (by aminoacyl-tRNA synthetases). tRNAs cope with the degeneracy of the genetic code in two manners: having more than one tRNA (with a specific anti-codon) for a particular amino acid; and 'wobble' base-pairing, i.e. permitting non-standard base-pairing at the 3rd anti-codon position. The record is from RNAcentral. Lineage: Bacteria; Candidatus Tayloriibacteriota. RNAcentral also lists the same sequence under 1 other name.